CAGCCGCCACGGGAAUACGGAGGGGGCUAGCGUUGUUCGGAAUUACUGGGCGUAAAGCGCACGUAGGCGGCUUGGUAAGUUAGAGGUGAAAGCCCGGAGCUCAACUCCAGAAUUGCCUUUAAGACUGCCGAGCUAGCAGGUGAGAGAGGUAAGUGGAAUUCCGAGUGUAGAGGUGAAAUUCGUAGAUAUUCGGAAGAACACCAGUGGCGAAGGCGGCUUACUGGCUCAUACUGGACGCUGAGGUGCGAAAGCGUGGGGAGCAAACAGGAUUAGAGACCCCUGUAGUCCCUGUCUCUUAUAC
Molecule: ribosomal RNA, 301 nt
Filed under: uncultured bacterium
Lineage: Bacteria
Description: partial 16S ribosomal RNA
Rfam family: Bacterial small subunit ribosomal RNA
Source: RNAcentral